GAAAAAUUGUAGCAUUUGUCAGGAAGAAUAUGAGGCUGAUGAUGAAAUGGGCAAGCUGGGUUGUGGACACUUUUAUCAUAUCGACUGCAUAAAACAGUGGCUUAUGCACAAAAAUAACUGUCCCGUCUGUAAAUCUGUUGCCAUGUCAACCUGUUGAUUUUCGUAUUCCUUUUGUAUAUAGCCUUUGUGCAUCCUGAAACUGAUGGCUCUUUUGUUCGGACAGCAGUUCAAUAUGAGACUGGCUGAAACAAGG
This 253-nucleotide unclassified non-coding RNA is filed under the name Hevea brasiliensis (rubber tree). Lineage: Eukaryota; Viridiplantae; Streptophyta; Magnoliopsida; Malpighiales; Euphorbiaceae. The record is from RNAcentral.